GUAGGGAAUAUUGGGCAAUGGAGGCAACUCCGACCCAGCCAUGCCGCGUGCAGGAUGACGGCCCUCUGGGUUGUAAACUGCUUUUAUACGGGAAGAAAAAAUACUACGUGUAGUAUACUGACGGUACCGUAAGAAUAAGGAUCGGCUAACUCCGUGCCAGCAGCCGCGGUAAUACGGAGGAUCCAAGCGUUGUCCGGAUUUAUUGGGUUUAAAGGGUGCGUAGGCGGAUCUUUAAGUCAGUGGUGAAAGCCUGCAGCUUAACUGUAGAAUUGCCAUUGAAACUGAAGAUCUUGAAUGUGGUUAAAGUAGGCGGAAUGUAUCAUGUAGCGGUGAAAUGCUUAGAUAUGAUACAGAACACCGAUAGCGAAGGCAGCUUGCUGAACCAUUAUUGACGCUGAGGCACGAAAGCGUGGGGAGCGAACAGGAUUAGAAACCCUAGUAGUCC
Molecule: ribosomal RNA, 445 nt
Filed under: uncultured bacterium
Lineage: Bacteria
Description: partial 16S ribosomal RNA
Rfam family: Bacterial small subunit ribosomal RNA
Source: RNAcentral